Non-coding RNA from Podarcis lilfordi (Lilford's wall lizard), 1257 nucleotides. NCBI's taxonomy places the organism in Eukaryota, Metazoa, Chordata, Lepidosauria, Squamata, Lacertidae. The record is from the annotation of a GenBank genome assembly.
GACAUCUGGUGACUAGGAAGCUUGAGGGCACAGGGCAGUUGACCAGAAGGGCCAAUCAGUAAUGUAUAAGCUCUUAGUUUAAUAUUGACUUGCACUACUCAUUCCUAUCUUUGGCUGGAAAGUCUUUCUAGCACAAAUUAAUUGCCAUAUGACUGCUGCUUGAUUCUCUGUUCUACCUAGUGAUGGCUAAUGUUUUUUGUUGUGUCAAGAUUCAGUUUGCUGGCUUGGCUUGUGUAGUUAUUUUUAUGGGUUUUUUAAAAUGUAUUUUUCUUACUCUUUCCAUGUCGGAAGCUAUUGAAUUAUGAAUAUCUUCUCUUCCCGAUUAAAUUCUCCUGAGUCUGUAAAUUUUGCUUUAAUGCCAAGUGUAAUGUUAAUGUUUGCUCAGUAAUAGGAAAUUAUUACCAUUCCUACCUGACUUAAAGGAGUUUCCUUGGCCCUUUUGAUGCAAGUCCUUAGUUCUCAGAAGAGGCAAAUUAUGUGUCCCCCCCUUCCCCCAACCCUCCAUUAGCAAUCAUUCUGUUGCACGCAGCAUGUGAUAAAUCAACUGGAGGAGCUUUAGAGUUGCCACAACAUGACAUUACCUAUCAGCUUGUCAAGCCUGUGUAGGCUCUGAGCCUUUUAGGCUGUAUAUUUCUUCAAAGUCUAGCGCCAGUUACUUAGUCAGCUCUAACUAAUUUCAGAGUGGAAGGGAAACUUUACUGGAGUGCUGUUUGGGAUCUGCUUUUUAAUCCGGGUCUGUUUAAUGUUUGCCUCCUGACAUUCUAGGCCAGACAUCAUUUUAAUGGUAUGUGUGGUGAUAAAGCCAAUAAGCUGUCAAGAUGAUUGAUAAUCUAAGCAUUAUAGCAAUAUGACUUUCCUGUUCUCCUCUGUGCUUUAGAUGAUGGUUUCCAAAUUGAAUUCUUAUAGUGUGCUGCUAUAUGUGUGUGCUCGUUGGAUAUUCUCUAAACACAGGAUUUGAAGAGGGAGGUGCUGUUUGGUUUUGUGAGAUUUUAGAUCUGUGCCUCUCCUUGGAUAAAAUAGAGCUUUUAAUUUAAGAAACUUCCAAAGGGAGAAGGGUCAUUGUUUAGUCUUUAUGCACAUGAAUAUAUGUUGCAUUUGCUGUCACUUCCUUCCUCCCACGCUCACCUCAGAUUUAAUAUGGACUUUGGAAUCCCAUGUGGCAGAUAUGCAUUAUGAACAGAGUAAUUGGAAGCAUGGAUUUGGAGUUUUCACGAUUUUAAGAAUGACUGGAGCAGGUACAUAUCCCCCCUUCCCCAC